GACGAACGCUGGCGGCGUGCUUAACACAUGCAAGUCGAACGGAAAGGCCCUGCUUGCAGGGUACUCGAGUGGCGAACGGGUGAGUAACACGUGGGUGAUCUGCCCUGCACUUCGGGAUAAGCCUGGGAAACUGGGUCUAAUACCGGAUAGGAGCCAUUUUUAGUGUGAUGGUUGGAAAGUUUUUUCGGUGUAGGAUGAGCUCGCGGCCUAUCAGCUUGUUGGGGGGGUAAUGGCCUACCAAGGCGGCGACGGGUAGCCGGCCUGAGAGGGUGGACGGCCACACUGGGACUGACAGACGGCCCAGACUCCGACGGGAGGCAGAAGUGGGGAAUAUUGCACAAUGGGCGCAAGCCUGAUGCAGCGACGCCGCGUGGGGGAUGACGGCCUUCGGGUUGUAAACUCAUUUCGCUAGGGACGAAGCUUUUUGUGACGGUACCUAGAGAAGAAGCACCGGCUAACUACGUG
Molecule: ribosomal RNA, 465 nt
Filed under: uncultured bacterium
Lineage: Bacteria
Description: partial 16S ribosomal RNA
Rfam family: Bacterial small subunit ribosomal RNA
Source: RNAcentral